GGGGAUGGCAUGGUUUCGACAGGGACAUGUCUGGUAAGUAUAGCAGCCGUGUGGUGACGUAAUCACCAAACCACAAAUUAACUGGCAACAGUAAUUUAUCAUACUCCUUCGCUUAAUAGAUAAGCAGGAGCGCAACUUAGAGCGGGGCUCCAACACUCUAACGCGCGUCAUAAAAGGGGCUAGUCAUCGUGAUGUCUAUAAGCGGUGAUGAAGUAUUAUAGGCUCGCUCUCUUGUUGUUCGUAGAUAUCGACAAACAGAGUUAAAUCGUAAUAUCUUCUAAGCUGUAGAAGUAUUUAUGGGGCGGUUCUUGGACCGGAGUUCGACUCUCCGCAUCUCCACCA
This 342-nucleotide transfer-messenger RNA is filed under the name Bacilli. RNAcentral describes it as "UBA1361 sp002306335 Standard tmRNA". It matches the Rfam family "transfer-messenger RNA". From Rfam's summary of the family: Bacterial tmRNA, also known as 10Sa RNA or SsrA, is named for its dual tRNA and mRNA-like properties. Its role is to liberate the mRNA from a stalled ribosome. The record is from RNAcentral. RNAcentral also lists the same sequence under 2 other names. Lineage: Bacteria; Bacillati; Bacillota.